GCUUGAUGGUAGUCCUGAUGUCUGGGAACCAAACGAAAUCGAAGCGAUCUCAUCUCUUUUCCAGCAAAGAAUCCCUCAGAAACCAGAGAGAGUGGUUCGAGUCAGGCCUCUACCACUUCCUCAGCCUCACAAGCUACGACCUUUAGGCCUCCCAACUCCAAAGCCCAACAACAUCAAGAAACCACUCGUGUCAUCAUCAUCAAAAGACCCGAGCUUUCUCAUCAGUUUAGCUAGAGAGAUCAAACACUUACCUUCCCCUGAAGCAGACGUCUCUCUCGUCCUCAACAAAUGGUCCACCUUCCUCCGCAAAGGCUCCCUCUCCACCACCAUCCGCGAGCUCGGCCACAUGGGUUUGCCCGAGAGAGCCUUGCAGACCUACCGCUGGGCGGAGAAGCAUCCUCAUCUCUUUCCUGAUAACCGCAUCCUCGCGUCCACCAUCCAGGUCCUAGCCAAGCACCGCGAGCUGAAGCUCCUCAAGUUCGACAACACCUUGGCUAGCAAGAGCGUUAUCGAAGCCAUGAUCAAAGGCUGCAUCGAAGGCGGUUGGCUGAACCUAGCGAGGAAGCUUUUACUGAUAGCUAAAAGUAACAACCGUGUCCUCGACUCGAGUAUCUACGUUAAGAUGAUUCUAGAGAUCGCUAAAAACCCUGACAAGUACCAUCUCGUUGUUUCCCUCCUCGACGAGUUGAAAGAUAGAGAAGACUUGAAGCUGAGCCAGCAAGACUGCACGAGCGUGAUGAAGAUCUGCGUGAAACUUAAAAGGUUCGAGCUCGUUGAGUGUCUCUUUGAAUGGUACAAAGAAUCAAACAGAGAGCCGAGCGUUGUGAUGUACACUACCAUGAUACACAGCAGGUUUUCGGAAGAGAAGUAUAGAGAGGCGAUGAGUAUGGUUUGGGAGAUGGAGGAAUCGAACUGUCUUCUUGAUCUUCCUGCUUAUAGAGUGGUCAUUAGAUUAUUUGUGGCGUUGGAUGAUUUGGGAAGAGCAAUGAGAUACUACUCUAAGCUCAAGGAAGCUGGUUUUACUCCAACGUAUGAUGUUUUUCGCGAUAUGAUCAGCGUUUGUAUAGCUUCUGGGAGAUUGACAAAGUGUAGAGAGAUAUGUAAGGAGGUUGAAGAUGCUGGAUUGAGGUUGGAUGCAGAGACUUCGUUUAGGUUGUUUCAGCUCGAAAACCAAACAAUGUCUCUAUAAAGUAUUAAGACUUGUAAUAGAGUUUUGUGUUCUCUUUGAUUAGAGAUAUAACAUUUUUGUGAAUACAAGAAAUUCUAUGAUAAAACAUUUUGUGGUUUUACUGUUUGAUAGUGUUUUCAGGAAAAGACGAAAGUGGAAACUGGACAAGUUCAGAAUCAGACAUAGCUACUCUCUUGUCUGCUGGAACUGAUUCUGGUCCAUCCAUGGAUGGUUUAAUAACUGUAAAGAACAAAAUAUUAUAGAACAGAGUAAAAGCUAAGAGAAGAAAAGCUGUAGUUGUGAGGAACGAUCCGGACAUCUCAGGUGGUUCUUCAAACAUGAACGGAUCCAUAGAUGAAGAACCUCCACUACUUGUUCUGACAACGUCCGAUGAUGUCUUGACGAAGGUUCUUGGUUUUUCAUCGGCUUGAGAUUCGAUUUGUUGGUCAAGCUGUUUCAGAGCUUCUCUAGCUUUAUCUCUAUCGAUUUCGAAUCUUUGUGAAGAAGAAGAAGAAGAAGGUGAGUCGUCUCUUUCAGUGGCUCUUACAAUACCCAUCAGAUGUUUUUUCUUCUUCUCCAUGAAUCCGCCAUGUACGUACCAAUUAAGAGACUGUAUCCCUAACACCACCAUUCUCUGUUUCUUUUCUUCUACGGCUCUCUGUGAUGAUGAUAAAUGUUGUGUGUGUGUGGACAUCGUUGUUGGCAAAAUUGUCAGAUACCACAGGCUUCUUAGUGGAUUUUUAUUGUCGUUUCAAAAUAAGAAUUUACAGGCCCAUUCGAAAGUAUUUUAAGGCUUCAAAUAAAAAGGUAUGAUAUUUAAUUAUUUAUACACUCCAUUUGAUCAAAUCCUAAGGUCAUACAAAAUAUUACAAAGUUGGUUGAAAUAAGCAACAAUAUAAAUCACAAUAACUUGAACCCUUGUUUUUGAUGCUCUUAGUUAAAAGCCUUAUUUGAUCACACAAUUUAGCAAUUCUAUAGAAUUUUAUAGAAUUACAAUAACUUGAAACAGCAGAAGAAACCAAUGAUGUGCACAUCAGGUGGUCUCACAUAUUCCGCACAACAAUCGAAAUGGAUAAAUCUCUUACAAAUCAAAAAUCUCAAAUUAAAAGUAUGUUUGAAUCACUCUCUCGCUCUCUCUCUCUCUCUCUUUCUUUUUAGAGGAAUGAUCUUUAAAAGUGGCCAAAAGUUUUGGAUUAUUUGGACAAGGUGAAUUGGUGAAGAACAUUGCCGGAAAUAUCAUAGUAGAUGAACUUAGCUUGAUAGUGAGUAAUGUGAAGAGACAUGAAACCUUGUCCGUCGUAAUAAAGUUUUAGUUCUUUUGGAUCCCACGGCAGAAUAACUCCUCUCCAUGCCUUUGAUCCUCCUCCACUUGUCAGAAAUUGAAUCCCACUUCACCAAUUCCAAACAAUGAAUUAUUUAGGUUUUGUCUGAAGUAGUAAACAUUUAAACUUAACUAAGACUUUGACUAAUCUAGAUUCAAAUAAAAUUUGUUUAAAACAAACUGACUUCGUGUUUUAUUUUUCAUUCAAGAAUGUAAACCAAUACGAUCCCUAUUGAUGAAAAGAAGAAGUAAAUAGAACUUUACCCGUCNNNNNNNNNNNNNNNNNNNNNNNNNNNNNNNNNNNNNNNNNNNNNNNNNNNNNNNNNNNNNNNNNNNNNUUUUUUGAAUAAAUUUAACAUUUAUUCAAAAAAAAAAAAAAAAAGUUCAUCUUCUUCCUCGUGUUCUCUCUCUAUCUCAAAACCCUAGCUGUUCCCUAUUCAAUUAAGCUAGGUUACUCUCAAUUCGAGUUUGAUUCACUGUGAAUUAGAAAACCAACGAUGAUGCAUUGUCCUGUCUCUUCGUCACUUAUCUUCCAACCGAGCAGUAUCCGAGCAACAUCGAAAGUCUACGCAAAGAAGAAACUCACUAAGAAUCUCCGUAACCCACGCCGCACCAAACUCCCUCCUGAGUUCGGUGUCAACUUGUUCCUAAGGAAACCCAUCACAGAACCGUUGUUACCACUACAAGAACAAGAAGAAGAAGAUCAAGAGCUUGAUGGUAGUCCUGAUGUCUGGGAACCAAACGAAAUCGAAGCGAUCUCAUCUCUUUUCCAGCAAAGAAUCCCUCAGAAACCAGAGAGAGUGGUUCGAGUCAGGCCUCUACCACUUCCUCAGCCUCACAAGCUACGACCUUUAGGCCUCCCAACUCCAAAGCCCAACAACAUCAAGAAACCACUCGUGUCAUCAUCAUCAAAAGACCCGAGCUUUCUC
This 3418-nucleotide long non-coding RNA is filed under the name Brassica napus (rape). RNAcentral describes it as "long non-coding RNA (BNAP_LNC020314)". Lineage: Eukaryota; Viridiplantae; Streptophyta; Magnoliopsida; Brassicales; Brassicaceae. The record is from RNAcentral.